RNAcentral lists this transfer RNA (86 nucleotides) under Holosporaceae bacterium. Its description in RNAcentral is "tRNA-Leu". It matches the Rfam family "tRNA". Rfam says of the family: Transfer RNA (tRNA) molecules are approximately 80 nucleotides in length. Their secondary structure includes four short double-helical elements and three loops (D, anti-codon, and T loops). Lineage: Bacteria; Pseudomonadati; Pseudomonadota; Alphaproteobacteria; Holosporales; Holosporaceae. The record is from RNAcentral.
GCCGCUUGGUGGAAUUGGUAGACACGACGGACUUAAAAUCCGUUGGCUUCACGGCCUUGCCGGUUCGAGUCCGGCAGCGGGUACCA